CCAGAGAACUUAGCAGAGAUGCUUUGGUGCCUUCGGGAACUCUGAGACAGGUGCUGCAUGGCUGUCGUCAGCUCGUGUUGUGAAAUGUUGGGUUAAGUCCCGCAACGAGCGCAACCCUUAUCCUUUGUUGCCAGCGGCUCGGCCGGGAACUCAAAGGAGACUGCCGGUGAUAAACCGGAGGAAGGUGGGGAUGACGUCAAGUCAUCAUGGCCCUUACGGCCAGGGCUACACACGUGCUACAAUGGCGCAUACAAAGAGAAGCGACCUCGCGAGAGCAAGCGGACCUCAUAAAAGUGCGUCGUAGUCCGGAUUGGAGUCUGCAACUCGACUCCAUGAAGUCGGAAUCGCUAGUAAUCGUAGAUCAGAAUGCUACGGUGAAUACGUUCCCGGGCCUUGUACACACCGCCCGUCACACCAUGGGAGUGGGUUGCAAAAGAAGUAGGUAGCUUAACCUUCGGGAGGGCGCUUACCACUUUGUGAUUCAUGACUGGGGUGAAGUCGUAACAAGGUAGGCGUAGCGAG
RNAcentral lists this ribosomal RNA (522 nucleotides) under uncultured bacterium. RNAcentral's name for it is "bacterial SSU rRNA". It matches the Rfam family "Bacterial small subunit ribosomal RNA", at positions 988 to 1509 of the family's 1533-position model. The record is from RNAcentral.